Molecule: small nucleolar RNA, 81 nt
Filed under: Carlito syrichta (Philippine tarsier)
Lineage: Eukaryota; Metazoa; Chordata; Mammalia; Primates; Tarsiidae
Description: Small nucleolar RNA SNORD115 (ENSTSYG00000029701.1)
Rfam family: Small nucleolar RNA SNORD115
About the family: HBII-52 is a member of the C/D class of snoRNAs, which contain the C (UGAUGA) and D (CUGA) box motifs. HBII-52 is encoded in a tandemly repeated array with another C/D snoRNA, HBII-85, in the Prader-Willi syndrome (PWS) region of chromosome 15. HBII-52 is exclusively expressed in the brain but is absent in PWS patients.
Source: Rfam by way of RNAcentral
GGGUCAGUGAUGAAAUCUUUGCCUUGUCUCUAGAGAGGUAUUGUCUUAAAAGUCUUCCACAAUAGAGUUAUGUUGAGGUCA